CACAACACGCCUCUCAGAGCUCCGGACCGGAAGUGAUGGCCUACCGUGGCUCGGCGGUAGCUAGCUCGGCGGUAGCUAGCUCAGCCCCACGCAUCUCCGGUGUUCCCGAAGUUCUGCCUUCAUUUCGCGGACCUUAUACUCGGUGAAGCUCAUGUCCAGCUCGGUCUUCCCGGGAAUUCGUGUGAGGAACGGCUGAAAUAAAGCAGCCGGUGGAGGUAUUGACCCGAGGAGCCUCUCUACUGCCGACAGUUACAAAGCUGGGCCUGAAUGAAUAACGACAUAUUGAUCAGAACUGAAGCCUCUGCAGGACAGGAAGUCAUCACGUCUCACAUGAACGCGGACAGAAACGGGCCGUUAAUGAGGCUCAGAGCCGACCGCUGCAGAGCCAGGUCUGACGGCGCUCGGCUCAUUUCUGCAGCAUCUCAGGCUCAAGUGGCAGCUGCGGCUUUAGAGAAGCACUUGAUGCUGCAGCUGCUGCUGCUGCUGCCGGGAGAACCACUCCAACACCUGCAGCGGUUAGCAGGUGGAGGGUCGGAGUCACUUCCACCGGUUUGAUCCGUAAAAUCAGCAGCAGAAAUUCCUGCUUCCCGAUCUGUCCUUCAGAUUGAUCCAUUUCUUCUUUCUACAAACAGUUUGGCCUGAAAAUCAUCUCCAUCGACAAUCACUGACAUACGACUGCAUGUUGGUGCCAUUGGUAUAAAUACAUGUAUAAAAAAUCAGUACAUUUCUGCAGCGACAGACUUAAACUCUCCAAAUUUUUAUAGAAAAAAAGGUUAGAAUUUUCUGAAUUUAAAAUGUUAACAAAGUUAGAUUUUUUUAAACAAAAAAGUUGAAAAUGUUCUACGUUUCCAAAGAGAAUCCUUCAGUGUUGCUCCAUCUGUAAACAUGUUUAAAACGCUUUAAGCUGAAUUGUUGCACAAGAAGAAAAGAAACGAUGAUAAUGAUUCGAAAGCAGAAGUUAUGUUUCAGACGACUUCGCUUUUAUUUUGGUAGUCCACCUCCAGUUAUCGGCCAGUAAAUUUGCGUUUGGCACGAACAAGAACAUUCACCUGCCAACUAAAUAUUUAACUUGUCAGCUAAAUAUUUAAAAUAUAGCCAGUUAAAUCAUAAUUAGUGUAAAACUAAAUAUCGGUGCUAACUAAAUAUUUAAUUUAGAGAUUUAUUUAAUCAAUUAAAUAUUUUGCUUGAAACUAACAUUUAUAUAUAAAUCAAUAACAUGAUGAAAGUGCCUCCGGACAAUGAAUCCCCAUUUCUGCUGCUGGUUGUUGGCUGUAGUUUCAAACGCCUC
This is a long non-coding RNA of Poeciliopsis prolifica (blackstripe livebearer), 1288 nucleotides long. RefSeq lists it as uncharacterized. The transcript is spliced from 3 exons. The record is from RefSeq and is a predicted model, not a curated record. Lineage: Eukaryota; Metazoa; Chordata; Actinopteri; Cyprinodontiformes; Poeciliidae.